GAUGAACGCUAGCGGCAGGCUUAAUACAUGCAAGACGAACGGUAAGUGUUGUAGCAAUAUAGCACGAGAGUGUCGUACGGGUGCGUAACACGUAUGCAACCUACCUUGUACAGGAGGAUAGCUCGGGGAAACUCGAAUUAACCCUCCAUAAUAUAUUUGAAUGGCAUCAUUUGAAUAUUAAAACCUUGGUGGUACAAGAUGGGCAUGCGUCUGAUUAGUUAGUUGGAGUGUAAUGGACUACCAAGACGAUGAUCAGUAGGGGACCUGAGAGGGUGAUCCCCCACACUGGC
Molecule: ribosomal RNA, 290 nt
Filed under: uncultured bacterium
Lineage: Bacteria
Description: partial 16S ribosomal RNA
Rfam family: Bacterial small subunit ribosomal RNA
Source: RNAcentral